CGGAAAGUAGCUCAGUUUGGCAGAGCACCGCGUUUGGGACGCGGGGGUCGCAAGUUCAAGUCUUGUCUUUCCGA
This 74-nucleotide transfer RNA is filed under the name Candidatus Hepatoplasma crinochetorum Av. It matches the Rfam family "tRNA". From Rfam's summary of the family: Transfer RNA (tRNA) molecules are approximately 80 nucleotides in length. Their secondary structure includes four short double-helical elements and three loops (D, anti-codon, and T loops). Lineage: Bacteria; Bacillati; Mycoplasmatota; Mollicutes; Mycoplasmatales; Hepatoplasmataceae (SeqCode). The record is from Rfam by way of RNAcentral.